This 496-nucleotide ribosomal RNA is filed under the name uncultured bacterium. RNAcentral describes it as "partial 16S ribosomal RNA". It matches the Rfam family "Bacterial small subunit ribosomal RNA", at positions 29 to 507 of the family's 1533-position model. The record is from RNAcentral.
AUGAACGCUGGCGGCGUGCCUAAUACCUGCAAGUCGCGCGAACGGACGAGAAGCUUGCUUCUCUGAUGUUAGCGGCGGACGGGUGAGUAACACGUGGAUAACCUACCUAUAAGACUGGGAUAACUUCGGGAAACCGGAGCUAAUACCGGAUGAUAUUUUGAACCGCAUGGUUCAAAAGUGAAAGACGGUCUUGCUGUCACUUAUAGAUGGAUCCGCGCUGCAUUAGCUAGUUGGUAAGGUAACGGCUUACCAAGGCAACGAUGCAUAGCCGACCUGAGAGGGUGAUCGGCCACACUGGAACUGAGACACGGUCCAGACUCCUACGGGAGGCAGCAGUAGGGAAUCUUCCGCAAAGGGCGAAAGCCUGACGGAGCAACGCCGCGUGAGUGAUGAAGGUCUUCGGAUCGUAAAACUCUGUUAUUAGGGAAGAACAUAUGUGUAAGUAACUGUGCACAUCUUGACGGUACCUAAUCAGAAAGCCACGGCUAACUACGUG